AUCAGUCACUCACUGCACUGUUGUUCCACUUUCUAGGCUGUUUCUACCUGAGUCCCCAUCUCUUCUCUUUCUACUGAGUGGGUAUCAGCCCCCUUCUUCACAAACCCGGGACCUCCUCCUGCUUUCCAGCACCAUUACAUGUCCGUAGCAGACCGGGAUCCUGACUGUCAGUUACAGCUACUACUGCUGCCCUAUAAAUAGUCAAAACGCAGGCGGUGCCAGCUCCCAGAUCACAUUUUAACCUUAAACGAAUUGCCAGUUUUCUGCUGUAAUUACCCAGGUUGGAAAGGAGUACAGACCUACAAACUUAUUCUGAGUAAACUCUGCACGAAGGCUUGGCAGCUCCAGCUCUACAGCCUUUUUUAAAUGGAAGGCUCUUCCAAGCCAAAUUCUGUCUGCGGGAGCAACCCGUGAUAGCCUUGAUAGAAGGUUAUUUUGUCUCCGGUCUAAAUGCUACCUAUAUUAGUAGUAUGACUAUGGGAAAACAGCCCCUGCUUCUGGGGCCAUUGCUCUUGCUGUGCAAAGAUCGUCUUUCUCUGCUGUUAUUUUACUGGGAUCACUGACCAAGGCAAGAUCUUGUGCGUUCAGGGACUCGAGGGACUGCAAGGUGACAAAGGAGGAAAAUAUGUUCAUGGGACACGGAAGAGGCAGCUUUCAGGAAACAGAGCCUCCAGCAGAACUCGUAUCACAUACACAAACAGAGGUUUUGACCAGAGCUGGCAUCUCCCCUAGGGAGAAGAAGAGCAAGCAAGGAUCAUAUGCAAGAGUGCAAUAGAUACAGUGCUGGGAUGGCAUGAAGAGCAGAGCUGGAUGCCAGCCUCGUGUUAUUAACAGAUGACUACAUGAAGAACAAGGCUGAUACAAGCACAACGACAGCUACUUGCCAUGAUGUGAACCUCACCGAAAGGCAUUCUAACACCAGUGACCAACCCCCUGCUUUCCCACCAUGGCACUGACCCUAACAGACUGAGGGCCCUCAGUGCUCCUCGCUCUCCAUGCUCUCCAGACCUUUCCCCAUCUCACAGCCCUCCUUGGACGCUCUCUAACAGCUUCUGGGAAUGUCUGCUUUGCCAAAAGUUGCAGUCAAGCCUGAAGAGUUAUGACUGGCACAAAGCACAGGGUCUGCACCAGCCCCACCGGAGUUCGGUAGAGCCCCUGCUCCUCUGUGAGCUCUGCAUAGGAGGGACCCUGUGGGUAUUCAGAAAAAGCACCAGCAGAGAUAAUUCACUCCUUGUGUUUGGCUGUUUUGGGGUGGGAUUCUGGGGUACGGAGGGCAGAAUGUUGGCUCUGGGCAACUCAGAAAAGGCCUCGUGCCGUGAAGUUGCUGCCCAACGCUUCCACAUCUAAACACCCUGUGUUUCUAAGUGCUCCAUGUUUCCCAAUUCCCUGCCACAUCACAGGGCUCCCUGCUCUCAGGAGGCAGAACCAAGCAGUGCAGAGCGGCUCUGGUAUCCCUCAGUGAACAUCCUGCUGACGGGGCAACGCGUUCAAAGCACGGGCAUAAAAACAUUGCUUUGAAACGGGGCAUAAAAGAACACGGAGGAAAAAAACUCGAUUGUUCCUCUGUGAAAUUUCUCUGGGAAGGCAGCCACGACGACUAAAAGCAGCGCAGCUGAUGCCAGUAUUGAAGUUCUGCCGUAGGAAGUACCUACGGAUUAAUCAAUCAUGCAGUGAGCACAUUACCUAAGAUUGGAGCGAGCGAAUCCCCACUGACUAGUGCUGUUCCAAAGACUACUAGGACACUGUGAACUGGUUUAUUGUCCUAUAUGCUCUUAGCAAAUGUUUUUCUUCUUGCUUGCCUCGGUGAGUCGAUCGCUGGGCUCCUCUGGCGGCUUUUCCAAUGGUUCUUUGGGAACGUUCUCGCUGUCGCUCAACUGCUUGGGAUUUACCUUUCUGCAGAACUGUGCCUUACUGCCUAUGGGACCACCCUGGGGAGGUACACUGUUAGGGAGAGGCUUAAUCCACACUGGCACAGGCUGCCCAAGGAGGCUGUGGAUGCCCCAUCCCUGCAGGCAUUCGAGGCCAGGCUGGAUGUGGCUCUGGGCAGCCUGGGCUGCUGGUUGGCGACCUGCACACAGCAGGGGGUUGGGAUCAGAUGAUCACUGUGGUCCUUUUCAACCCAGGCCAUUUUAUGGUUCUAUGAUUCUAUAAUUCUAUGAAUCCAGCUUGUGUGCUUCAGCAUGCAAGCAGCAAUGGGUGUUGGAUACUGUGACCACAAAAAAUGCAAAGGAACUAACAGAAAAGAGCAGGGCAGUAUGACUGUCAAGUUGUUAAAGGUUCAGGCAGGGUGGGCCAGUCCUUAAGCAACUUGCAAAUUAGCAGGAACUGAGGAUUUUCAGCACUAAAAAUGUGAAUUCUCUGUUUUCUAAAUGGCUAGUAUAUUUUUCUGUGUCUGAAAUACAAAGGAAGCUGCUGUAGGGAGGCUCCUUUCUGCCACAUGAGAGCCUGUUCUUCCCAGGGCAGAGAAAGGAAAAGGAUUUAAGAGGAUCCCAGGGGUUGCUGUGGGGGGGAGACAACGAUGUAAUUUUUGAAAGCGAUUCUAAGCAAUUAAAAAGCCAUUUCAUUCACCAAGUGAUUAAUGAAACAGCAUGUGCUGAAUGGAAUGGUGCGAGACAACUGAAUCAACCUGUCUAAUGUACCUAUCAAUGCCUACUUCCUAUCCAUCAGCCACUGACAUAAAGUCCAUAUGUUUGCACAUUAUAUUGUCAUACUCAUUUUAGGAUGCCAUUAACAGACAGGUAUUUGCUGGGGAGAAGGGCUCCACUGCAGAGCAGAUCUUCUGCCACCCCACGGCAAGUCAUUAAUCCUGAAGAAGCGCCCAGUGCCUCAGUGAUUAUUGCUUAAUUGCAAAAUAAAUGAAAUACUUGGAAACA
Molecule: long non-coding RNA, 2873 nt
Organism: Tympanuchus pallidicinctus (lesser prairie-chicken)
Lineage: Eukaryota; Metazoa; Chordata; Aves; Galliformes; Phasianidae
Exons: 2
Source: RefSeq, a predicted model, not a curated record